UCUAUCAAAGCACCAAUAAUGCAAAAAUAUGUGUUGCAGCAAUCCAUUUGUUUUAAGUCCGUAGUCUCUAACGUAAACAAAAUACAAAGUGUAAUUUUAGCAAGCAGAAUGAGUUGUGCUGGCAGCCACUGGGGAGAGUUUCAGGAUGGUCAAGGCAGCAGCAAUGAUGACUGGAGUCUCAGUGGCUCUGACAUGGAAGACCUCCUUACCCCAAAGCCACCACCGCCAAACCCACCAACCCUUCACCAGCCAUCUCAGGAGGAAACAUCAUCAUUUCAAAUACUUCCUUCAGAAUUUUGUCGCACAGACCCCUUAGUUUUACAAACAAUCAAACUACUACAGUAUCAAAGACAGGUUGCCCAGCUUAUAAACAGAGCACAGAGUAUAGGCAUGGAGGGGAAUAGCUUCCCGUCUUGCCCCGCGCCUCCUGAUGAUCCUGUGCUUGAUCGUAAAACAGCAAAACCACACUUCCUCUUCUUUAUUCCUCCUGAGAAAACGCCAUACACAAGUGGGAAGAAUGAGGCACAGUUACUUGAGGUGGAAGGCACAGCCGCACGUCUCAUUUUGAGGAAAGCCAUUGCAACGAUAUGUGCGCACACAGGGUACACUGACACAUCGGAGAGUGUACUCAGAUUUCUCACAGAUGUUCUCCAUGAAUUUCUAACAAAGCUGACCAAUUUACUGCGUGCUAAUACAGAUUCCCUUCUCUUGACAGACAGGUGUCCUUUUCAUGAUGUUAUGGAGCAAAGCCUUCAUGACAUUGGUAUUGGCAGCAUGAAUGAAUUGCACCAAAUGUAUCGUGAACGUGUGAUUCUGUAUCAUGCCAGAGUCAAGCAGGAGAGCUUUCAGUUGUAUCAUCAGUACCUUGCUCUUACACAAAAUAAGGAAGGCUGUAUUGCAACACCUGGGUCUCGAAGGGAGAGCACAGGGGACUGGUGGGGAGAUGAGUGUGGCAGUCAACAUGGAGGUCCAAGUGGCACCUCUGCACCAGGACUGGAUGAUGCCUCAGUCCCAUCUAUUAAAAGUACCUCAAGUUUGGAUCCUGAGUUGUCACUCCAUCCAUUCUCUGUACUGAGCCAGUGAGUUAUGAGGAGGUUGAACAUUACUGUCUAAUAUGGCAUAAGUACGACAGAAGAGUCGGAGGUGAUGGAGAAGAAGGGGUCCAGCACUCACCUGCCACCACACAACAAUACCAGCUAUACCCUCUCACACCCAGAUAGAUAUGAUUACUACAUUUUGCCUGUAUAUAAUCAGUGCAAAUUCUUGCCUUAAGAUUUGCAAUUUCUUCUCAUCAAAGUUAUUGUAUUUAAACUUUUAUAUUCUGAUUCUUAUUCUUAUUUAUAACUAAUUAUUAUUAUUAUUAUUAUUUUUCAUUAUUGUAAGUUAUUUUUUGGUUUAGAUGUGCCUAUAUUGACACACAAAACUUUUGAGUUCCAUAAUUCUAUAACUUAAAUUUGCUGUCUCCUGAAUUAUAGUGCUAUAAUUCAAUGCUAUAAAAAAAAUCAUAAUUCCCAGUUCCGUCUGAUUUUACAGUAUUUGUUUCAUACCAGUGAUUCUCAUAUAUGGUACAUUGUGGAGGAUUUAUCCAAUAUGUAAUAUUGUAUUAAAAUCUGAAAUUUUCUCAGGAUUUCCAGGUUUCUUAGUUUAUGUAAUAUUUUGAUUGACAUUAAAAGAAAACAAACUUGGUUCUCGUAUCAAAAUAUUAUAUUUUUCCCAUUUAUAAGUAUAAUUGACCAAUGUAUAAGAUAAACUAAAUAUCACAAGUGCAAGCAAUAAACUACUAGAGUCUGAAGACAAAGAAUUCAUGCCUGGAUUUCAAGCUGUAUCAAUGAAUAUGUAGAACUAUCAUUUUAUAGACUGAGGAUUCAGGACCAAAAACAAAAAUGUCAAAAUCUUAUGGUUGAACAUAGGAACUCAAAGUGAAAACUCUCACGUCUUACAUCUCAAAACACUUUCAUAUAUUCAUGUCACUGCUAUUUAAAAAUCACAUUCUGCAAACUAAAUUUUUUUUACUAAGGUUUCUUUCUACAAGUCAAAUGGAAAUCGUCAUCAUCCUAGAGACAUGCUGCUUGAUUGGGAAAUAAGUAAAUAAUUUGGCAUUUUUUUGCGUUCAGUCUUCCUUUAUGUCGUCUUAUAUGUGGAUUUUUGUGUGUACAUUCAAAAUGAUGUGUUAAUCUCAAUAAACAAAUACUCAGAAAAAGA
This 2202-nucleotide unclassified non-coding RNA is filed under the name Penaeus japonicus. Its description in RNAcentral is "sTAGA complex 65 subunit gamma-like, transcript variant X4". Lineage: Eukaryota; Metazoa; Arthropoda; Malacostraca; Decapoda; Penaeidae. The record is from RNAcentral.